This 431-nucleotide ribosomal RNA is filed under the name uncultured bacterium. Its description in RNAcentral is "bacterial SSU rRNA". It matches the Rfam family "Bacterial small subunit ribosomal RNA", at positions 29 to 506 of the family's 1533-position model. The record is from RNAcentral.
ACGAACGCUGGCGGCAGGCCUAACACAUGCAAGUCGAACGCUGUAGCAAUACAGAGUGGCAGACGGGUGAGUAACACGUGGGAACGUACCCUUCGGUUCGGAAUAACUCAGGGAAACUUGAGCUAAUACCGGAUACGUCCGAGAGGAGAAAGAUUUAUCGCCGAAGGAUCGGCCCGCGUCUGAUUAGCUUGUUGGUGAGGUAACGGCUCACCAAGGCGACGAUCAGUAGCUGGUCUGAGAGGAUGAUCAGCCACAUUGGGACUGAGACACGGCCCAAACUCCUACGGGAGGCAGCAGUGGGGAAUAUUGGACAAUGGGCGAAAGCCUGAUCCAGCCAUGCCGCGUGAGUGAUGAAGGCCCUAGGGUUGUAAAGCUCUUUUACUCGGGAAGAUAAUGACGGUACCGAGAGAAUAAGCCCCGGCUAACUUCGU